GACGAACGCUGGCGGCGUGCUUAACACACGCAAGUCGAACGGAAAGGCCCUGCUUUUGUGGGGUGCUCGAGUGGCGAACGGGUGAGUAACACGUGAGUAACCUGUCCUUGACUUUGGGAUAACUUCAGGAAACUGGGGCUAAUACCGGAUAGGAGCUCCUGCUGCAUGGUGGGGGUUGGAAAGUUUCGGCGGUUGGGGAUGGACUCGCGGCUUAUCAGCUUGUUGGUGGGGUAGUGGCUUACCAAGGCUUUGACGGGUAGCCGGCCUGAGAGGGUGACCGGCCACAUUGGGACUGAGAUACGGCCCAGACUCCUACGGGAGGCAGCAGUGGGGAAUAUUGCACAAUGGGCGGAAGCCUGAUGCAGCAACGCCGCGUGCGGGAUGACGGCCUUCGGGUUGUAAACCGCUUUCGCCUGUGACGAAGCGUAAGUGACGGUAAUGGGUAAAGAAGCACCGGCUAACUACGUG
RNAcentral lists this ribosomal RNA (468 nucleotides) under uncultured bacterium. RNAcentral's name for it is "partial 16S ribosomal RNA". It matches the Rfam family "Bacterial small subunit ribosomal RNA", at positions 28 to 507 of the family's 1533-position model. The record is from RNAcentral.